This 11830-nucleotide long non-coding RNA is filed under the name Gossypium barbadense (sea-island cotton). Its description in RNAcentral is "long non-coding RNA (GBAR_LNC019500)". Lineage: Eukaryota; Viridiplantae; Streptophyta; Magnoliopsida; Malvales; Malvaceae. The record is from RNAcentral.
CAUGUUGCUCCUGACUAUAAGAUUUCUUAGACGAGGCUGCUUUUGAUGCCUUUGAUGAACCCAAACUUUUUGCUUCUCUUAGAACACCCGAAAAUUUUCUAUUGUCUACAGGAUGCAGGACUCUAGAUUGGCGAAGUUGUACCAAAGGUUCAUCCUCAGCCAACCCACUUUCUUUGUGAAACUGCAACAAUCUUGUACACCUUGUGAGAAUGAAAAGCAUCCGGGUAUAAAGCUGCUUCAGCACACACGCAGGAAGUUCUUGACGCUUAUCAUCUAGCUCCUGAACAAUGCCUUCACACUGAAGCCAAAACUCACCAGGUGGUGUCAUAGCACAGCUUCGAGCCAAAACCAGCAAAUCCUCAAUAGUUUCCUGCCACUCAGGAUGACUGUCAGCAGUUCUUUCUAGAACUCCAACAAGAUCUGCUGCAAAAAUAGCCAGAUCAGAGUUCACUUCCUCCUUUGCUUUGUCAAAUUUUGCUCUAAUAGCAACCAAGGUUUCCUGCAUAAAAAGAAAAUUCUUGUUAGAAAAACAUAACUGAAUGAAAAUGGGAGGCAAGAAAUAGAAACAAACCUCCAAGUUGUUUAAGCGCCGAGGUUUCCAAAGCGGAAAUGGUCGUACACCUUUGGAAUUUAAUUCAUGGGAAAAGCUCUUAAUAUCAGCAGGGAACCUCUUCCGAGGACCACUUGUAACACGGAGAAUAGCUUGAAAACGGGGCGAUUCAGAUUCCUUUGGGUUUUCACAAUCAAAUGAAAUCUGGGAAAGAAAUAACACCAUCACAAGUUAAAACUUAAAAUGAAAACAGAAGGCAGUUGUCCCUAGUAAUAAGUAACAGCAAAGUAAGGAUCAACGAAAAUACUACUGUACCUCUGGUGUACAAAAAUCUGAACUUUUUAAGCCUCCAGAGUGCCCAAGUGAUGACUCGUCUUGCCCUGGUAACAAAAUUCCAAGGUUUCAAAGCAACGUUUGAAAGAAGAAUCACAACAAAUUGCCAGCAAGCCUUCAUGCAGUGAAACCAUUUUAUUAUGACCCAGCAUUCCAAAUAAAAAGUAGUUUGAACCCCCAGAAAUUUUCUAAAAUAAAAAUCCUCUUCUAGUUAAAACAGAAAGGAGAAAUGAAAAAAAUGCACUCGAGAAAUGUUGCAGCUUCAGAGAAAUGCAUAACUAGAAAAGCAGUGGGGUCUUUCUUUAUGACAUUAGGAAGGAAGAAGAUGGUAACUAGAAAAGCCCCAAAAGUACUUUAACCAAAUCAUAAGGGUAGUAUUCCAAAGUCCAUAUCGAAGUUCAGAACUUCAGAUAGGUGGAGAUGGGGCAGUGACAGUAAAUACUCAAAAAACUUUGUUACAUAAGAAGCAUUUUAUAAUAACCAACAAUUUGAACUGGCAAUAUGAGAAAAGCAGUUCAUUUCAUAUCCUUUAUAAUCACAUCACCCUCUAAGGGGCAGUUUGAUUACUGAAUAUACCAAAUUAAAUGCAGCUGCUAAAAAUAUUAAGAAUCACAAGCAUAUCAGCAUCUUAGGGAAAUUCCCUUUAGCUCUCCCAAAAUCCAUAGCCCAUCAACCAUUUCUAUUUCUACUAAUUACCCAUCCACAUUCUACAUGCUCUUUCUAUUUUAAUCUCUUCAUUCUUGAAGAAGAUUAGUCCAGAAUUCAAAAAAAAAAGAUCCUGUUGAGACAUGGCAAGAAGAGACAAUGAAGAAAGGCCUACCAGAAUCCAAUAUAAUAUAAAAGAUGAAUCAGUAAGAUCACAAGUACUAUAUUUCUGUGUUGAACAUGAUAUAUUUACCCACUGCGAUCAGCAGUAAACAUAUCAUGCACUUUUAGCAAUUAAUUUUCAUAUGCUAAUGUUUCUCUCGACAAAAAUCUAAUAUUAACUGAGAUAAAUGAAACUUUACAGAAAUCCUUAGAGCAAAUUAUAUACCUUUCCAUUUGGAUUCUACCAGCUCAACCUAAUAGCACAAUUUUAAAAUUUUUCUUUAAAAAAAAAAAGGUAAAUUGGAAAUUUUCUUUACAAAGAAUCUUUAAAAUUCAAUCUCUGCAACAUGCCAAGUGCCAACUGUUCAAGAAAAAUGCACAAGAGCAUGGUAAAAGUAAAUAACAUUAACUAAACCAUUGCAUGUCUUUUAUCAUCUCAGAGUGACAACAAUCAAACCAAAGCAACUUUGUCUGGCAACAUGUUCUUUUAGCAUCUUCAUCUGUGCUAGAGAGUAAAAUUCUUAAACAUCACCCUCUCUAUCUCUCAAUAAGUUUUAUAAGGCACCAAUUCAAAUGCACUUCCACAACUUAUCAUGCCUCGUGGUAAAGUUAAGCUUCGUGUUCAUUCUGCCUAGCCUUCUAACUUUCUGACCUACGGAAGAAUAGCUCAAAGCUUUAAUGCUAAUCUAAGAUAGGGUAAUUCUAAACAGAUGAUGAAAGCAUAAUAAACUGUUUUAGCAUCUACCAACCAACUGGUCAUGAAACAAGGAAAUCCAGAAAGAGUCCCGGAAUAGAGGAGAUAACAAAAAUAAGAACAGAUAACUAUAAAGCAACAAUACUGCCACUAAAGUAUCAUCAAUGGCAUAGUUGAAACAUCAAGCAUAUGAGAAAUACAAGAAACACUGGUGAGUCAAAGUAGGAACAGUACCAGCACCUGAAGAUGGUUCCCCGUUCUGCAACCGUGACUUCCCUUGCACACCAGGACUCUGCUCUCUUGAGUGCCAACCACCACCACUCCCAGUCGACAUACUAUCCGAAUUGCUCACAUUAUCAAGCAAACUGUCUUGCAAUAACCUCUUGGUCAAUACGUCUUUCUUCCCAGAACCUGAUUUCGACGAACUACCAUCGCCACCACUACUGGAACCUCCAGGCCUAGACAAGUUACUAGCUCCGAGCACUGAAGCCACUGCACUUUUCUCACCUCGGAAGCUGAAAAAUGUCUCCUGCGGCAAGGGGCCAGAGCGGGUUUUAAUCCGGUUCAAACCCAAGGAGGAGGCUAGUAGGGGCGACUCGGAGGAGGACCUGUCCUUGGCAUCGGGCUUCUUGGAGGUAGAAGAAGAAGAGGGCUUAGAAGGUGGUGUUCGGGGUUUGAGGUCCUUGCUUCUAGGUCCAUCUUUUACUUGGGUUUGCUUGCAAGCAACGGGAGAGAAAAGGGAAGUGGAAGUGGAAGUGGAAGUGGAGGCCUGUUGGGAAGUAGAAGCUCUGGGUUUCUUCUUGUCGGAUCGGAUGGGGGAAUUGGAAGCAGAUCGAGGGCUGUUUGAUCCGUCAGAAUCCGAUUUCUUCGAAGAGAAGAAGAGCUUGUUUUUGAACACCAUUUCAUUUAUUCACUGUUUUCUUCAAGCACAAAGGAAGAAUGAAAGGCACCACUAAAUGAUUUUUCCACCAACCAUUUCUCUUCUUGAAUAAAACCAAGUUUGUUUGUUGUUCAAAUAAAAGAGAGCGUUGAAGAAGUUGGAUUUUGUUCAAAGCCUUGAGAUUGAAGAGAAAGAAUGCGACAUCUAAGGGGGCAAAGUAGGUGGAUGACGGAUGGAUGGAUAGCAUGAUAUAUAUUAGAAAACCGAACCGGAUCGGUCGCAUCAAAUUUUGACUACCAUGUGACUUUUAGACGUCACUUCUAACAAAUAUUUGGUCAAUUUCUACUAUUAGCCCCUUACUAUCGUUGAGUUGUAGAUUUACUCUUUAUAUCUUUCAAAUUUUGAAAUUUCACUCUUAAUCAAAAUAAUAACCAUUAAAAUCAUUAGUUAAAUUAUGUCAUUUUCAUAAUUUAGGUCAUAAACAUACUAUCACAUAUAAUAUAAUAUCAGUUACUCACAAAAAAUUAUGUCAUUUUAGUUAAUGAAUUUAACAAUUUUUAUUUGAGUUGUGACUGGAAUUUUAAAAUUCAAGCAGUGUAAAGAUUAAAAAUUAUCAAAUUGAAGAACAUCAAAUAAAUCUACAACUUAUACAUAGUAUGAAAUUAAUAGAAAAGUUUGACCUAACGAAUUUAAAAGGGUACCAUUUGGAUCAAAAAUAAAUUUUCAAAAUUUUCAAAAUAUAAAAAUUAAAAUUCAUCAAAUUAGUAAAUUUACAACGUGUUUGUUUGUCAAAAUGAAAUUUAGUGGGUUUUCUUUUUUGGUUAGAGAUGCUCCAUAACAACAGAAGCAAGCAGAUUUCAGCAGAGCACACAGCUCUUCUAGGGGUGCAAGGGCCAAAGUUGCAAGCAUGAACCCUGUUGAGUUAAUUUUUUUUUUUUGUCUCAAUUACCAAAUUAAGCACUUAAAUUUGACUUCAAUGGUUAAUUUGAUACCUAUAUUUUUUUUUCAAAUUAAAUUCUUAUCUUUUUUAUUAAAGCAAACAUGGUGUCAUUGGAUAUGGGUAUCAAAUUGAGAUUAAAAAAUAUAAAAUUAAACAUUCAAAGUAAAAUUUAGUUAACAAAUGAUAUAUUAACUGAAAAAUUGAUAAUAUAAUCAAAAUUAUAUGAUGAGGUCCUAAACCAUCGAGUACUUAAGUUCAAGUCUCACUAUACACAAUUGUAAUGUGUGAUUACAUGAGAAUUAUGUUACGUUGCUUCUAAUUCUUUAUCCAUUAUGCUUUGCAUUGAUUUAAUUUGAUAUUUUAGUUGCUCAUACAAUACUUGAUUGUAUUUGUAAUAUUAAAACUUUAAAACGAAAAAAUUGUAAUAUUAAAACUUUAAAACGAAAAAAAAAAAACACUUACAGCGUGUUUGGUUGGGUGUAUUGGAUUAGCCAAUACACCCCUAAUCCGUGGGCCCCACUAAUCCCCACUUAAUCCCGUGUUUAGUUUGAUGUAUUGCCUAUUACAGGCCUAUUACAACACGGAUGUAUUCCUCAUUUUCUCUGCUUCAACAACUAUUAGCCAUUCCGUUUCAAAAGUAAGGAUUAGCUAAUCGUUUCUGUUUUACCCUCCCCAGCCAAAAUCUACUGCUCCACCCCACCCUCUCCCUCCCAACAUCAACAAUAGUUUUCUUCGAACCAAAUCUCCACCGUCUCGCGUUUGGGAAGCGAGAAAGUGCGAGAAAAAUGAGUGGAUCGGGGAAGAAAGUCGUCGAUGUCGCGUUCAAAGCAUCAAAUAACAUUGAUUGGGAAGGGAUGGCUAAGCUUUUGGUCUCCGAUGAGGCUCGCAAAGAGUUCGCUACUCUUCGUCGCACUUUUGAUGAAGUUAACUCUACUUUACAAACCAAAUUCAGCCAGGUCUUUUUCUUAUAUUCUCUCUAAUCCCUAACUCCUUUUUAGCAUUUUUAUUGAUUUUUUUCAUAGAUUUGUUGGGUUAAUCCGUUGAUUAGAUCUUAUAGGGUUUUAGUUUUUUAAUGAUGAUUUUAAUAUUUUAUAUUGAAACAAAUUUUCAAUAAGGUUGAAUUUUUUUGUUCAAGGUUUGAUUUUGGAACCAUUUUUUUUUCAUUUUUAAGGAAAUUUUAGUUUUGUUCAAGGUUUCAGUCCUAUCUUGUUAAUAAUCCGAUUUCUUAAGCAGGAACCUGAACCCAUUGACUGGGAGUACUAUAGAAAAGGAAUUGGCUCUCGCCUGGUAGAUAUGUACAAAGAGGCAUAUGAGAGUAAGUUAAUUUGAUAGUUAUCAUAUUUGGCCUACUCUCUAUCCAAUUUUCCAGUCAUCCUAUAUAUGGUUAUGCUUAGAUCAGUUGCAGGUCUGUAAAAUCAUAAUUUGUUUGGCUUCCACAUGUUUGUGUUCCUCAUGCGGUGCCACUUCCUGAAUUUGUUACUUUGAAGAUCAUCUCUAUGGUACAAGGGAACUAUUACUUAGUUGGAUGCUGAUAUGGUCACCUUAAGUAGCUAGCUCUUUCCUUUCUUCACUCUCGGUUUUUGGGGUUUUGGAAGGGGUAUUAGUAAAGUAUGGAUUUUAUUGCUAUUGCUUUAUAUUUCUCUGACUAUUUUUUACGGAAAUAUCAAUGCCUGACCUAUAUCUGGACCAUAGAUAUGGGGAUAUGACCCUUCAAGGACCCUACAAAUUCUUGGAAAAAAGUUGAACAUACCCAUUUUGGACAUUUAGCCUGAUCUGACACUUGCACUCGAGUUUGCGUAACACAGUUAUCAAUCAUUUUCCAGCUCCAGAUCUCCUUGAUCUUUCCUAGAUCAGUUCCAUGCCCCAUACUUCACUGAAAGUUAAAUGGAAAUCAGUUGCCAAUGAGGACAUUGUUUAAAUUGGCUGUUAUUUUGUUUGCAAAUACAAUUCUUAUUUGUGUGCAAUUCACUUGUUGAAUGCUAUUAGCAUUUAACAAUUUCAGAUUAAUGCCGUAGAUGUUUCAUUUCAAUAAUGCUAUUAUGUGAUCAGAUUCUUCUGGACACCAAAACUUGAGAUACUCCUAUACUUAUGUUCAAAGUAGAAUGAAGAAAAUAUAGACAUCUAGCUACUCAAUUCUCACUUGUCUGCAAUUUCUAGCAGUCGAAGUAAUCAUAUUUAUCAUGCUUGUUAUAAGGUUUGGAUGGAGUUUUAAGGGAUUCACAGUUACAAAUGUUAUAUACUCUUCCAUUGCAGGUGUAGAGAUCCCCAAGUUUGUUGACACCGUCACUCCUCAAUACAAACCAAAAUUUGAUGCAUUGGUGAGAAUCAACAGGAUAAUUGACUCUCUUUUACCCUAUCUCCAAGUUUUUUCCUCGAAUGAUGUGCUAUUUAUUUGUGGUUAUAGCUUGUAGAAUUGAAAGAGGCAGAGGAGGAAUCCUUGAAAGAGUCCGAGCGAUUGGAGAAAGAAAUUGCAGAGGUUCAAGAACUUAAGGUAAUAAAUAAAACAAUGCCGAAAUGUGUGUCGUUGUGUUCCAAAUCACAAUUGCUGAAUUUUUUAUCUUUUUUUAUGAACAGCAAAAGAUCAGCACCAUGACCGCAGACGAGUACUUUGAGAAACAUCCAGAGCUUAAAAAGAAAUUCGAUGAUGAGAUCCGGAAUGACUACUGGGGCUAUUGACAUAUUUGUGAAUUUAAUGGCCAAGCUUUUGGUCUCGACUAGAAUUUUUGAACCGUUUCUGUUGUUUUAACCCCUUUUUCUCUUGUGCGGUGAUCUGGGUUGGAAAGAUUAGGCUGUAAUGAUAAGAAAAUAAUUGUGUAAGAAAAAUUUAUCCAAUCAUUUGAGAAACAAGGUGGAUCUUGUAAGACAUGCAUUCUAUUUAGCAGGCAUCCGCAGUCAUACUUUCAUGGCAAAAUUUUUACUGUCUGCCCUCUUCAUUCCAUUCUGUUUUAUGUUUAUUAUUUGAAUAUUAUCUAGAUACAAUUGAAUUUGGACACCUAUUUAUCUAGAUCCAUUCUAUAUGUAUUUUUUAAUAAGUGGUUAUUUAUAUUAUUAGUAUUUUGAAAUUUUAAAUUAUAUAAAUUAAUAUAAAAAAGGUUUUUACAUCAAGAAUGAAUUUAUUGAUUCAAGUGCAUCUAAACAAUCAUUUAUCCAAAUUCAUCGGGACGUGCUUUUUAGUUCUUUUUAAUAUUAAUUAUUUUAAAUUGUAUAAAUUCAUAUAAGAAUAUUUAUUAUCAAGAAUUUUAUGAAAUUAUAUAUUAUUAUUAAAUUAUAUGUAAUAAUAAUUAUUUUAAAUUAUACAAAUUCAUAAAAUAUAAUUUAUUAGUUAUAAUUAUUUUAAAUUUUAUUAAAUCAUAUAUUUUAAUUAAAAUAUUUAAUAUUAAUUAUUUCAAAUUUUCUUUUAUAGUAUCAUAUAUUAUUAUUUGAGUAAAUUCAUAUAAGAAUAUUAAUUAUUAAGAAUUUUUAAAUUAUAUAUUUUAAUUAUAUAUAUAAUAUAAUAAUUAUUUUUAUUUUACAGUAUCAUAUAUUAUGAUUUGAGUAAAUUCAUAUAAUAUUAAUUAUUAAGAAUUUUAUUAAAUUAUAUAUUUAAUUAUAAUAUAUUUAAUAAUAAUUAUGUUUAAAUAUGAUUAAAUUAUUUAUUAUUGAUAUUAAUAAUCUUAUUAAAAUUUAAAUAACAAUAACAAUAAUAAUUUACCAAAACAAAUUUCUGCUAAUUAUUAAGAAUUUUAUUAAAUUAUAUAUUUUAAUUAAAAUAUAUUAAAUAAUAAUUAUAUUUAAAUAUGAUUAAAUUAUUUAUUAUUGAUAAUAAUAAUAUUAUUAAAAUUUAAAUAACAAUAACAAUAAUCAUUUACCAAAACAAAUUUAUGCUAAGGGUAUUCUAGUCAUUUUAGUUUUUCCAUUAUGCUAUUACACCUCUAUUCCAUUCAACCAAGCACAAGAUUACUAUUACGCCUCUAUUUCACUACAUUCAACCAAACAGUUGAUUUGCUAUUACACCUCUAUUCCAUUACACUUCUAUUUCAUUACACUUCUAAUCCAAUACAGCGAACCAAACGUGCCCGCUGUUUUGUAAGAAAAAUAUAUAAAAGAAACUGCUGCUCUCAUUAGUUUCCAUUUUACCACCACCAUUGCUUAUUACCCAUUAAAAAAGAAAGAAAAAAACAGGGAGGUAUCCAUAUUCCAUGGCGUUAUUAUAUUUUCCUACCCAAUUAAGCAUGCAGCACCACUGCUUUUCUUUCAAGCACAAGUGAGUGGUGGGAGAUUGCAUUGAGAAGGGAGUCGAGAAGCGAUCCUUAGAGUGCUGCAAAGGCAAUCAUGGUGCACCGAUUGGAGUGCGUUACAGCAGUCAAUGCUAGGGUUAGCCACAGCUGCACCGGGCACCACGAAAGGUGUGCACACGUUCAGGCUAAUCAUUCUGAAAUAAUAACUUGGCAAAGAGAUACCUGUGGAAGAUCCUCUUGCUCAGAGAAAGCACCCUUGCCUGACAAUAACAAGUCUAUGUGACAAGUUCUUGGUGUCGAUAAAGGAGAUCUAGGAGUCAUGCUUCCUGCAGACGAUGUUGUCAUUCCUUGAUCAACCUUUGGACCAAAGCGAGUUUUACAUGACAUGGAAGGUAGACCCUUAAGGUCAUCCAUAAAAACUGAAUUAUCAGCUUCAGGGAAACAAUCAAGCAUGUCUUCUGAACCUCUCCUUGACCAAUCACUUAGUUUAGGAGAUAGAACAUCAAAUUCUUCAGUCACACUCGAAUUUGAUGCUUUUGCAACAUCUGGGCCCCCUAAGUGUUGGAUAUCCUUAUUAGCAAAGGAAUCUGCCAUCUUCUCAAGUGUUUCAGCAAUUCUUACAAGACGUUCAUCAACACUUAAGCCGUUCUGAUCACAUCGAUCAGUAGCGGUACAUAUUCUUGAGUGAUCUUCCACAUUUGAGGUGGGAACCUCCUCCUCACAAAUGCGGCAUAUUAUAGAACUUCCUUCAGAAGCAGUCGGUUGGUCUCCCUGAGAACUCGAAGAAACUUUGUGUUGAUGCUUAGAAGGCUGCCCUUCAGAUUCUUUUGCAGCAGGAAGCUCCUGAAGGUUAAUAGAAGUCAGAUCUACAUCAGACGUCCCUGUUCUUUUCAGAGUUUCACUUGUGCUAUUAUGCUGCGCCUUAAUAGCAGUAACUUCCUUUGGACCUUUUCUGGCAGGAGUUGCGAGUUUCUUCCAAGAAGUUAUUUUGUCUAUGCUCACAGGAGACUCCAAGUUCUUUGGUGUGUCAUCAAUGGGAGCAAUGGAACUGAUACGAGUCAAGAAGGUGAUACUCAAGGGGUUAUUUUUCUUAGCGGUCCAAUCACUCGAAGCAAGGCACGACAAUUAAAAUCAAAGAUGAAUGCUUUUGUCCAAGACUUUGUUGCUACAAAUUUAAUUCAUCAUGUUCAUGACGUUGACAAAUACGGGAAUGCAAUUCACUGGACCAAUCUUGGAAUAGUGAAAGCCCAUAAAUUGGUAGAUUAAUCUUUUAUGUAUCUUAUUAUUAUUAUUUACUUAAUUCUCAUUGGUUGGGACACAUCACUUAUGAGUUUUAAGUAAUUUCAUUAGUUAGGUUAUUAUUUAUUUAUUUUCUUAGAUAAUUUUAAAGAGUUUUAUUAGGGUUUAAUUACUCUUGUAUUUUACCUAUAAAUAGACUUGCUUUCUACACAUUGAGGGGAAUAAAAAAAAGAGUAUUUAUUUUCUUCCAAAUUUGUGUGAGGCAAAUUUUUGAGAGUAGAGUGAUUCUUCUUUUGCUAUUUAGUUUGGAGUUUGUUACUUUCGAGGGUAUUUCGGAGUUACAAAUAUUCAAAUUUCUUUCCCGUUCAUCGGUGUUUCUAGAGGUUCUUCUUCUAGGGGUUUCGUAGGGAACCGCUCAAUCAUUUGCGUUUUUGGUUACAAGUUAACUAAGGGUUCCAUAGGGCAAAUCUAUCCUUUUUUUUCUUUUAACUAAUUUUAUUUAUUCUCAUUUUUAUUUCUAAUUUGUGUUUCUCUUGUGUCUAGAUCUGGGAUUCCGUAUCAGUUGGUAUCAGUUUCAGACCAUUCGGUGUUAUUUUUGAAGCUAAAAUCAUAUCCGAAACAAGUUAAAAUACCAAAAACACUUUUCAUUUAACACUUUUCAUUGGUUUCGUCAAUUACCAUUCGGUGUUAUUUUUGAAGCUAAAAUCAUAUCCGAAACGAGUCAAAAUACCAAAAACACUUUUCAUUGGUUUCGUCGAUUGCCAUUCAGUGUUAUUUUUGAAGCUAAAAUCAUAUCCGAAACGAGUCAAAAUACCAAAAACACUUUUCAUUGGUUUCGUCGAUUUUUUUUCUCCUCUUAUUCUUUAAAAAAAAGCAAAGAGUGCAAAAAAAAACUGAUGCGGAAUCCCGGAUCUAGACACAAGAGAAACACAAAUUAGAAGAAGAAAAACGCCAAUAAUUGAGAUAGAUUUGCCCUAUGGAACCAUUGGUUAACUUGUAACCAAAAACGCCAAUAAUUGAGCAGUUCCCUACGAAAUCCCUAGAAGAAGAACCUCUAUAAACACCGAUGAACGGGAAAGAAAUUUAAAUAUUUGUAACUCCGAAAUACCCUCGAAAGUAACAAACUCCAAACUAAAUAGCAAAAGAAGAAUCACUCUACUCUAAAAAAUUUGCCUGACACAAAUUUGGAAGAAAACAAAUACUCUUUUUUUUAUUCCCCUCAAUGUGUAGAAAGCAAGUCUAUUUAUAGGCAAAAUACAAGAGUAAUUGAACCCUAAUAGAACUCUUUAAAAUUAUCUAAGAAAAUAAAUAAAUAAUAACCUAACCAAUAAAAUUACUUAAAACUCAUAAGUGAUGUGUCUCAACCAAUGAGAAUUAAGCAAAUAAUAAUAAUAAGAUACAUAAAAGAUUAAUCCACCAAUUUAUGGGCUUUCACUAUUCCAAGAUUGGUUCAGUGAAUUGCAUUCCCGUAUUUGUCAACGUCACGAACAUGAUGAAUUAAAUUUGUAGCAACAAAGUCUUGGACAAAAGCAUUCAUCUUUGAUUUUAAUUGUCGUGCCUUGCUUCGAGUGAUUGGACCGCUAAGAAAAACAACCCCUUGAGUGUCACCUCCUUGGCUCAUAUCAGGAACCUCCUGGCAGGACAAUGUGGUCCUUACUCCAAUCCAAGGCAUGUUGCUCCUGACUAUAAGAUUUCUUAGACGAGGCUGCUUUUGAUGCCUUUGAUGAACCCAAACUUUUUGCUUUUCUUAGAACACCUGAAAAUUUUCUAUUGUCUACAGGAUGCAGGACUCUAGAUUGGCGAAGUUGUACCAAAGGUUCAUCCUCAGCCAACCCACUUUCUUUGUGGAACUGCAACAAUCUUGUACACCUUGUGAGAAUGAAAAGCAUCCGGGUAUAAAGCUGCUUCAGCACACACGCAGGAAGUUCUUGACGCUCAUCAUCUAGCUCCUGAACAAUGCCUUCACACUGAAGCCAAAACUCACCAGGUGGUGUCAUAGCACAGCUUCGAGCCAAAACCAGCAAAUCCUCAAUAGUUUCCUGCCACUCAGGAUGAUUGUCAGCAGUUCUUUCUAGAAAUCCAACAAGAUCUGCUGCAAAAAUAGCCAGAUCAGAGUUCACUUCCUCCUUUGCUUUGUCAAAUUUUGCUCUAAUAGCAACCAAGGUUUCCU